UUUUCAAGACUGCAGGCUAGUGCCUGAGGGGACCGUGACACUCAGUGUGGCUGAGACUCAGGAGAAACCACAGCAGGAACACAUGACUUUCCAUGCUGGUUCAUUCAGCUAUCAUGGUCCCGGAGGAGGACCUCACAGGGAGGCCACUCAGUCCUGGGAGGGUCUCCCUACCUGGUCUGCUCCAUACUGCAUCUGUCUUCCCUGCAUUUGCAGUCUGGACACCUGCCUGUGUGUCUCUAACAUCCCUCCUCCUGUGGCACCUGUUGCAUUCUCUUUUGAAUCUCCUCUUCAUCCAGUGAUUAGCAGCAGCUGGUCCUGGCUUUGCUGCAGCAAAUUUAGUUAAUAAGUGAAUGCAUGCAGGUGUCAGUCAAUAAGUGAAUGCCUGCAGGUGUCAGUCAAUAAGUGAAUGCAUGCAGCUGUCAGUCAGUAAGUGAAUGCAUGCAGGUGUCAGUUAAUAAGUGAAUGCAUGCAGCUGUCAGUCAAUAAGUGAAUGCAUGCAGGUGUCAGUUAAUAAGUGAAUGCAUGCAGGUGUCAGUUAAUAAGUGAAUGCAUGCAGCUGUCAGUCAAUAAGUGAAUGCAUGCAGCUGUCAGUCAAUAAGUGAAUGCAUGCAGGUGUCAGUUAAUAAGUGAAUGCAUGCAGCUGUCAGUCAAUAAGUGAAUGCAUGCAGGUGUCAGUCAAUAAGUGAAUGCAUGCAGCUGUCAGUCAAUAAGUGAAUGCAUGCAGGUGUCAGUCAGUAAGUGAAUGCAUGCAGGUGUCAGUGAGUGGAUGCUCUCAGCAGCCUGUGCCUGACCUGACUCGAGGCUGCUGCU
This is a long non-coding RNA of Apodemus sylvaticus (European woodmouse), 810 nucleotides long. RefSeq lists it as uncharacterized. The record is from RefSeq and is a predicted model, not a curated record. The transcript is spliced from 3 exons. NCBI's taxonomy places the organism in Eukaryota, Metazoa, Chordata, Mammalia, Rodentia, Muridae.